UGGCUACCCCUGUCUUCUGCAUAGGGCUGA
RNAcentral lists this non-coding RNA (30 nucleotides) under Homo sapiens (human). The record is from RNAcentral. Lineage: Eukaryota; Metazoa; Chordata; Mammalia; Primates; Hominidae.